GUCGAAAUCCGCUAAGGAG
This 19-nucleotide small nuclear RNA is filed under the name Arabidopsis thaliana (thale cress). Its description in RNAcentral is "snRNA_01885". Lineage: Eukaryota; Viridiplantae; Streptophyta; Magnoliopsida; Brassicales; Brassicaceae. The record is from RNAcentral.